CUCUAUCAGCAGGGAAGAAAAUGACGGUACCUGACUAAGAAGCCCCGGCUAACUACGUGCCAGCAGCCGCGGUAAUACGUAGGGGGCAAGCGUUAUCCGGAUUUACUGGGUGUAAAGGGAGCGUAGACGGCGAGACAAGUCUGAAGUGAAAGCCCGGGGCUCAACCCCGGGACUGCUUUGGAAACUGCCUUGCUAGAGUGCUGGAGAGGUAAGUGGAAUUCCUAGUGUAGCGGUGAAAUGCGUAGAUAUUGGGAGGAACACCAGUAGCGAAGGCGGCUUUCUGGACUGCAACUGACACUGAGGCACGAAAGCGUGGGUAGCAAACAGGAUUAGAUACCCUGGUAGUCCACGCUGUAAACGAUGAGUACUAGGUGUCGGGGGUUACCCCCCUCGGUGCCGCAGCUAACGCAUUAAGUACUCCGCCUGGGGAGUACGCACGCAAGUGUGAAACUCAAAGGAAUUGACGGGGACCCGCACAAGUAGCGGAGCAUGUGGUUUAAUUCGAAGCAACGCGAAGAACCUUACCUAAGCUUGACAUCCCUCGGACAGGUGUUUAAUCACACCCUUCCUUCGGGACUGAGGUGACAGGUGGUGCAUGGUUGUCGUCAGCUCGUGUCGUGAGAUGUUGGGUUAAGUGCCAUAACGAGCGCAACCCUUAUCUUUAGUUACUAACAGGUCAUGCUGAGGACUCUAGAGAGACUGCCGUCGUAAGAUGUGAGGAAGGUGGGGAUGACGUCAAAUCAGCACGGCCCUUACGUCCGGGGCUACACACGUGUUACAAUGGGGGGUACAGAAGGCAGCUACCUGGUGACAGGAUGCUAAUCCCAAAAGCCUCUCUCAGUUCGGAUCGAAGUCUGCAACCCGACUUCGUGAAGCUGGAUUCGCUAGUAAUCGCGCAUCAGCCAUGGCGCGGUGAAUACGUUCCCGGGCCUUGUACACACCGC
Molecule: ribosomal RNA, 944 nt
Filed under: uncultured bacterium
Lineage: Bacteria
Description: bacterial SSU rRNA
Rfam family: Bacterial small subunit ribosomal RNA
Source: RNAcentral